RNAcentral lists this ribosomal RNA (592 nucleotides) under uncultured bacterium. RNAcentral's name for it is "bacterial SSU rRNA". It matches the Rfam family "Bacterial small subunit ribosomal RNA", at positions 56 to 666 of the family's 1533-position model. The record is from RNAcentral.
UGCAGUCGACGGAAGGCCUCUUCGGAGGUACUCGAGUGGCGAACGGGUGAGUAACACGUGGGCAAUCUGCCCUGCACUUCGGGAUAAGCCUGGGAAACUGGGUCUAAUACCGAAUAGGACCUCGAGACGCAUGUCUUGAGGUGGAAAGCUUUUGCGGUGUGGGAUGGGCCCGCGGCCUAUCAGCUUGUUGGUGGGGUGAUGGCCUACCAAGGCGACGACGGGUAGCCGGCCUGAGAGGGUGUCCGGCCACACUGGGACUGAGAUACGGCCCAGACUCCUACGGGAGGCAGCAGUGGGGAAUAUUGCACAAUGGGCGCAAGCCUGAUGCAGCGACGCCGCGUGGGGGAUGACGGCCUUCGGGUUGUAAACCUCUUUCAGCAGGGACGAAGCGCAAGUGACGGUACCUGCAGAAGAAGCACCGGCCAACUACGUGCCAGCAGCCGCGGUAAUACGUAGGGUGCGAGCGUUGUCCGGAAUUACUGGGCGUAAAGAGCUCGUAGGUGGUUUGUCGCGUUGUUCGUGAAAACCGGGGGCUUAACCCUCGGCGUGCGGGCGAUACGGGCAGACUAGAGUACUGCAGGGGAGACUGGAA